RNAcentral lists this ribosomal RNA (248 nucleotides) under Brassica napus (rape). RNAcentral's name for it is "rRNA LSU_rRNA_eukarya". It matches the Rfam family "Eukaryotic large subunit ribosomal RNA", at positions 675 to 915 of the family's 3401-position model. Lineage: Eukaryota; Viridiplantae; Streptophyta; Magnoliopsida; Brassicales; Brassicaceae. The record is from RNAcentral.
CUGACAUGUGUGCGAGUCAACGGGUGAGUAAACCCGUAAAGCGCGAGGAAGCUGAUUGGCUGGAUCCCUCACGAGUGCACAGCCGACAGACCUUGAUCUUCUGAGAAGGGUUCGAGUGUGAGCAUGCCUGUCGUGACCCGAAAGAUGGUGAACUAUGCCUGAGCGGGGCGAAGCCAGAGGAAACUUAUCAAGCUCCCAAGAAGGUCCAAAAGAAGUUUUAUUAUCCCAUUAAACCGUCCAGAUUCAAG